This 567-nucleotide long non-coding RNA is filed under the name Numida meleagris (helmeted guineafowl). RNAcentral's name for it is "lncRNA (ENSNMEG00000000777.1)". The record is from RNAcentral. Lineage: Eukaryota; Metazoa; Chordata; Aves; Galliformes; Numididae.
AUGAAGCUAGGCCAGAGUGGGCCAUUGGAGUCCAGAUGGAGUUAUCUGUGGGAGGCCUUUCUGCAGCACUACAGGAGCUCUACUCCAUUACCAAGAGUUCUCCACUCCCUUUCUGAAAUGCUGAUGUUUCCAGAGCAGUGCCACCUCCAUACAGACGCUACAAAAGGAGCAGGAGGAGGAGGAGCCAGCAUAGGAACUCCAUUCUUUUGGUUUGGGAAGAUGCCCUACAUAGACACUGCAGAGGAGCAGAGGAGGGAAGCACCACGUUGUCGGGCUUGGAGAAAAGAGGACGUAGGGGAAGAAGUCCUUCAGGGCUUGCUCCUAGAAAAUGGAGGUGGAACAAUUCCAAAGGCAAAGCUCAGAUGGGCGCUGACACUGCUGAGAGAGACCCAAGGCACCAUGUGUACAGGUCACAAUCCUGCUUCAGCUGAAGUCACAGGAACAGCAUCAGGCAAUGAGUUCUGCCUCGUUAGCACAUGCUGGGUGAAUGUCUCCCAUUUCCCUUGGAUAACAAGAGACCCAGGGCUCAAUUCACAUCAGUGUCACCCAACCCAACCACAGACAUGA